Long non-coding RNA from Zophobas morio, 291 nucleotides. RefSeq lists it as uncharacterized. The transcript is spliced from 3 exons. NCBI's taxonomy places the organism in Eukaryota, Metazoa, Arthropoda, Insecta, Coleoptera, Tenebrionidae. The record is from RefSeq and is a predicted model, not a curated record.
UCUUCCUUAAAAGUAAUACAUAUAUUUCUCAAAAAAUAUUAUAAACUCUCUUCACACAUACGUUUAAAGAUCAACGUAUUGUACACAAGCCAUAAAAAUAGGGCAACGCAGAGAAGGGUCUCCACUAUGUUAAACCAAAGCCUUGCUCGUCUUAUUAAUUACGAGAUUAACCUUUAACGGGCAAAACUCUUGGGCUUCAAAAUAGAUUUGUUUUACGUUCGCUGAUAUUGUUCAGGGACCGAGCCUAUCAUUUAGGGACAAUUUCUACAGAUCUACUUUUGCACACUGAAA